GUGCAGGCUCGCCUUGUCGCUGCCCCUCGCGGGGGAGAGGAAAGUCCGGGCAACGCAGAGCACCGUCCAAGCUAACGACUUGAUAGCCGUGAGGUUAUAGGAAACGUAACAGAAAACGACCGCCCCUGCUUGCAGGGGUAAGGGUGAAAAGGCGGGGUAAGAGCCCACCGCGGCGGCAGUGAUGUCGCCGGCCGUACGUCUGACGGGUUGCAAGACCGUGUAUACCGGCAGUUAAGGGUUGCUCGCCCGAUGUCGGGGGGUAGGUUGCUGGAGGCGGCGGGCG
This 283-nucleotide RNase P RNA is filed under the name Alistipes onderdonkii. RNAcentral describes it as "partial RNase P RNA component class A". It matches the Rfam family "Bacterial RNase P class A", at positions 1 to 294 of the family's 367-position model. From Rfam's summary of the family: Ribonuclease P (RNase P) is a ubiquitous endoribonuclease, found in archaea, bacteria and eukarya as well as chloroplasts and mitochondria. Its best characterised activity is the generation of mature 5'-ends of tRNAs by cleaving the 5'-leader elements of precursor-tRNAs. Cellular RNase Ps are ribonucleoproteins. The record is from RNAcentral. Lineage: Bacteria; Pseudomonadati; Bacteroidota; Bacteroidia; Bacteroidales; Rikenellaceae.